Molecule: long non-coding RNA, 315 nt
Organism: Rhododendron vialii
Lineage: Eukaryota; Viridiplantae; Streptophyta; Magnoliopsida; Ericales; Ericaceae
Exons: 2
Source: RefSeq, a predicted model, not a curated record
AGUGGGAUAUCUAAUGAAUGAUCACUAGCAGGAAAAACUGCGGUAUAUACUAAUAUACAUGUAAAACAGUAGUAAAAGUUAUCGACAAUACACGGUAAGAAGCAUUGCAAUUUCAAGCCAGAAACAACAUCUCUAAUCCAAUACUCCAUUUUUGUCUCCAUUCCUCCAUAAUAAUGUAUUUUAUUACAAGAGUAAUUUUGGAGGAAAUCUAACUACAACCCAAUACUCUAUUUCUAUCUCUAUUUCUUUAAAAACUCACUCCAAAUCACAAACUUCACCACUUUUCUUCCAAAAUUGAAAUUCUCAUUUUUCUAA